RNAcentral lists this ribosomal RNA (433 nucleotides) under uncultured bacterium. RNAcentral describes it as "partial 16S ribosomal RNA". It matches the Rfam family "Bacterial small subunit ribosomal RNA", at positions 29 to 507 of the family's 1533-position model. The record is from RNAcentral.
AACGAACGCUGGCGGCAUGCCUAACACAUGCAAGUCGAACGAGACCUUCGGGUCUUGUGGCGCACGGGUGCGUAACGCGUGGGAACCUGCCCUUAGGUUCGGAAUAACUCCCCGAAAGGGGUGCUAAUACCGGAUAAUGUCUUCGGACCAAAGAUUUAUCGCCUUUGGAUGGGCCCGCGUUGGAUUAGCUUGUUGGUAGGGUAAAAGCCUACCAAGGCGACGAUCCAUAGCUGGUCUGAGAGGAUGAUCAGCCACACUGGGACUGAGACACGGCCCAGACUCCUACGGGAGGCAGCAGUGGGGAAUAUUGGACAGUGGGCGAAAGCCUGAUCCAGCAAUGCCGCGUGAGUGAUGAAGGCCUUAGGGUUGUAAAGCUCUUUUACCCGGGAUGAUAAUGACGGUACCGGGAGAAUAAGCCCCGGCUAACUCCGUG